Molecule: ribosomal RNA, 425 nt
Filed under: uncultured bacterium
Lineage: Bacteria
Description: partial 16S ribosomal RNA
Rfam family: Bacterial small subunit ribosomal RNA
Source: RNAcentral
GUGGGGAAUCUUGCGCAAUGGGCGAAAGCCUGACGCAGCCAUGCCGCGUGAAUGAUGAAGGUCUUAGGAUUGUAAAAUUCUUUCACCGGGGACGAUAAUGACUGUACCGGGAGAAUAAGCCCCGGCUAACUCCGUGCCAGCAGCCGCGGUAAUACGGAGGGGGCUAGCGUUGUUCGGAAUUACUGGGCGUAAAGCGCACGUAGGCGGCUUUGUAAGUUAGAGGUGAAAGCCCAGGGCUCAACCCUGGAACUGCCUUUAAGACUGCAUCGCUUGAACACGGGAGAGGUGAGUGGAAUUCCGAGUGUAGAGGUGAAAUUCGUAGAUAUUCGGAAGAACACCAGUGGCGAAGGCGACUCACUGGACCGUUGUUGACGCUGAGGUGCGAAAGCGUGGGGAGCAAACAGGAUUAGAUACCCGUGUAGUCC